CCAAUAGCGCAUAUUAAAGUUGUUGCAGUUAAAAAGCUCGUAGUUGAAUUUCGGGAUCAAAUUGUCGGUCGUGCCUCGGUACGCACUGGCGCUAUUGGUUCCUCCCUUCUGAAGAACCGCGAUGUCAUUAAUUUGGUGUCGCGGGGAAUCAGGACUGUUACUUUGAAAAAAUUAGAGUGUUUAAAGCAGGCUCGCGCUUGAAUACAUUAGCAUGGAAUAAUGAAAUAGGACGUUUGAUUCUAUUUUGUUGGUUUCUAGGAUCGACGUAAUGAUUAAUAGGGAUAGUUGGGGGCAUUAGUAUUCAAUUGUCAGAGGUGAAAUUCUUGGAUUUAUUGAAGACUAACUACUGCGAAAGCAUUUGCCAAGGAUGUUUUCAUUAAUCAAGAACGAAAGUUAGGGGAUCGAAGACGAUCAGAUACCGUCGUAGUCUUAACCAUAAACUAUGCCGACUAGGGAUCGGAUGAUGUUAAUUUUUUAAUGACUCAUUCGGCGCCUUACG
Molecule: ribosomal RNA, 499 nt
Filed under: uncultured Glomeromycotina
Lineage: Eukaryota; Fungi; Glomeromycota
Description: partial small subunit ribosomal RNA
Rfam family: Eukaryotic small subunit ribosomal RNA
Source: RNAcentral